Molecule: long non-coding RNA, 421 nt
Organism: Aethalodelphis obliquidens (Pacific white-sided dolphin)
Lineage: Eukaryota; Metazoa; Chordata; Mammalia; Artiodactyla; Delphinidae
Exons: 4
Source: RefSeq, a predicted model, not a curated record
AAAGGGGAAAAAAUAAUAAAUAUUGCUCUCAGAGUCCACCCCCUCAAUUUUGGGGUAAUUCGUUGCCUAUUCAGGAAUUCCACAGAUGAAGGUACAUCAAGUUGCCUGUGGAGAUUUAAUCUGCUGCUCUUGAGGCUGCUGGGAAAGAUUUCCCUUUCUCUUCUUUGUUCGCACAGCUCCUGGGGUUCAGCUUUGGAUUUGGCCCUAUCUCUGCAUGUAGGUAGCUUGAGGGCAUCUGUUCUUCCCUCAGACAAGACCAGGAUGGGGUUAAAGGAGCAGCUGAUUAGGGGUCUCUGGCUCCCUCAGGCUGCGGGGAGAGAGGGGAAUGGAAUGCGAGGCGAGCCUGUGGCGGUAGAAACAGGCGUGACAUUGCAACAGCCUGAGGCAUGCCGUGUGUUCCCCUGGGGAAGUUGUCCCUGGA